This 463-nucleotide ribosomal RNA is filed under the name Epinephelus undulatostriatus (Maori grouper). RNAcentral's name for it is "partial 16S ribosomal RNA". It matches the Rfam family "Bacterial large subunit ribosomal RNA", at positions 1990 to 2599 of the family's 2925-position model. Lineage: Eukaryota; Metazoa; Chordata; Actinopteri; Perciformes; Serranidae. The record is from RNAcentral.
GUAUGAAAUGAGCAUAACGAGGGCUUGACUGUCUCCGUCGUUCGAGUCAAUGAAAUUGAUCUCCCCGUGCAGAAGCGGGAAUAAACACAUAAGACGAGAAGACCCUAUGGAGCUUUAGACACUAAAGCAGAUCAGCAUUAAUACCCUAGACAUAGGACACGAAUAAACUGAACCCUGCCCUAAUGUCUUAGGUUGGGGCGACCGCGGAGAAACAAAAAACCCCCGCAAGGACCGAAUGUUCUACAUUCACAACCAAGAGCGACAGCUCUAAUUAACAGAUAUUUCUGACCAAUAAGAUCCGGCAGCGCCGAUCAAUGGACCAAGUUACCCUAGGGAUAACAGCGCAAUCUCCUCUUAGAGCCCGUAUCAACGAGGAGGUUUACGAACUCGAUGUUGGAUCAGGACAUCCUAAUGGUGCAGCCGCUAUUAAGGGUUCGUUUGUUCAACGAUUAAAAGAUCCCUA